RNAcentral lists this ribosomal RNA (446 nucleotides) under uncultured bacterium. RNAcentral describes it as "bacterial SSU rRNA". It matches the Rfam family "Bacterial small subunit ribosomal RNA", at positions 340 to 779 of the family's 1533-position model. The record is from RNAcentral.
UACGGAAGGCAGCAGUGGGGAAUAUUGCACAAUGGGCGCAAGCCUGAUGCAGCCAUGCCGCGUGUAUGAAGAAGGCCUUCGGGUUGUAAAGUACUUUCAGUCGUGAGGAAGGUGUUAAGGUUAAUAACCUUAGCAAUUGACGUUAGCGACAGAAGAAGCACCGGCUAACUCCGUGCCAGCAGCCGCGGUAAUACGGAGGGUGCGAGCGUUAAUCGGAAUUACUGGGCGUAAAGGGCACGCAGGCGGUUAAUUAAGUUGGAUGUGAAAUCCCCGGGCUUAACCUGGGAAUGGCAUUCAAGCUGGUUAGCUAGAGUCUUGUAGAGGGGGUAGAAUUCCAUGUGUAGCGGUGAAAUGCGUAGAGAUGUGGAGGAAUACCGGUGGCGAAGGCGGCCCCUGGACAAAGGACUGACGCUCAUGUGCGAAAGCGUGGGGAGCGAAACAGGGAU